RNAcentral lists this ribosomal RNA (465 nucleotides) under Vreelandella stevensii. RNAcentral's name for it is "partial 16S ribosomal RNA". It matches the Rfam family "Bacterial small subunit ribosomal RNA", at positions 338 to 795 of the family's 1533-position model. The record is from RNAcentral. Lineage: Bacteria; Pseudomonadati; Pseudomonadota; Gammaproteobacteria; Oceanospirillales; Halomonadaceae.
CCUACGGGGGGCUGCAGUGGGGAAUAUUGGACAAUGGGCGAAAGCCUGAUCCAGCCAUGCCGCGUGUGUGAAGAAGGCCUUCGGGUUGUAAAGCACUUUCAGUGGGGAAGAAAGCCUUGGGGCUAAUACCCUCGAGGAAGGACAUCACCCACAGAAGAAGCACCGGCUAACUCCGUGCCAGCAGCCGCGGUAAUACGGAGGGUGCGAGCGUUAAUCGGAAUUACUGGGCGUAAAGCGCGCGUAGGCGGUCUGAUAAGCCGGUUGUGAAAGCCCCGGGCUCAACCUGGGAACGGCAUCCGGAACUGUCAGGCUAGAGUGCAGGAGAGGAAGGUAGAAUUCCCGGUGUAGCGGUGACAUGCGUAGAGAUCGGGAGGAAUAACAGUGGCGAAGGCGGCCUUCUGGACUGACACUGACGCUGAGGUGCGAAAGCGUGGGUAGCAAACAGGAUUAGAUACCCUUGUAGUC